This 254-nucleotide ribosomal RNA is filed under the name uncultured bacterium. RNAcentral describes it as "partial 16S ribosomal RNA". It matches the Rfam family "Bacterial small subunit ribosomal RNA", at positions 524 to 776 of the family's 1533-position model. The record is from RNAcentral.
UACGUAGGGUGCGAGCGUUGUCCGGAUUUAUUGGGCGUAAAGAGCUCGUAGGCGGUUUGUCGCGUCGGCCGUGAAAUCUCCACGCUUAACGUGGAGCGUGCGGUCGAUACGGGCAGACUUGAGUUCGGUAGGGGAGAGUGGAAUUCCUGGUGUAGCGGUGAAAUGCGCAGAGUAUCAGGAAGAACACCCGUGGCUAAGGCGGCUCUCUAGUACGGUACUGACGCUGAGACGCGAAAGCGUGGGGAGCGAACAGG